UUUAUGACGUCGAAUAUCGACGUCAUAAACACCAAACUUGAUGGUAUUUAUGACGUCGAUAUUCGACGUCAUAAA
RNAcentral lists this microRNA precursor (75 nucleotides) under Paramuricea clavata. Lineage: Eukaryota; Metazoa; Cnidaria; Anthozoa; Malacalcyonacea; Plexauridae. The record is from RNAcentral.